This 499-nucleotide unclassified non-coding RNA is filed under the name uncultured Glomus. RNAcentral describes it as "SSU rRNA". It matches the Rfam family "Eukaryotic small subunit ribosomal RNA", at positions 591 to 1092 of the family's 1831-position model. The record is from RNAcentral. Lineage: Eukaryota; Fungi; Glomeromycota; Glomeromycetes; Glomerales; Glomeraceae.
CCAAUAGCGUAUAUUAAAGUUGUUGCAGUUAAAAAGCUCGUAGUUGAAUUUCGGGAUCAAUUUGUCGGUCGUGCCUCGGUACGUACUGGCAUUAUUGGUUUCUCCCUUCUGACGAACCACGAUGUCAUUAAUUUGGUGUCGCGGGAAAUCAGGACUGUUACUUUGAAAAAAUUAGAGUGUUUAAAGCAAGCUCACGCUUGAAUACAUUAGCAUGGAAUAAUGAAAUAGGACGUUUGAUUCUAUUUUGUUGGUUUCUAGGAUCGACGUAAUGAUUAAUAGGGAUAGUUGGGGGCAUUAGUAUUCAAUUGUCAGAGGUUAAAUUCUUGGAUUUAUUGAAGACUAACUACUGCGAAAGCAUUUGCCAAGGAUGUUUUCAUUAAUCAAGAACGAAAGUUAGGGGAUCGAAGACGAUCAGAUACCGUCGUAGUCUUAACCAUAAACUAUGCCGACUAGGGAUCGGAUGAUGUUAAUUUUUUAAUGACUCAUUCGGCGCCUUACG